AGCGCAGACGGUUGAUUAAGUCUGAUGUGAAAGCCCGGAACUCAACUCCGGAAUUGCAUUGGAAACUGGUUAACUUGAGUGCAGUAGAGGUAAGUGGAACUCCAUGUGUAGCGGUGGAAUGCGUAGAUAUAUGGAAGAACACCAGUGGCGAAGGCGGCUUACUGGACUGUAACUGACGUUGAGGCUCGAAAGUGUGGGUAGCAAACA
This 207-nucleotide ribosomal RNA is filed under the name uncultured bacterium. RNAcentral describes it as "partial 16S ribosomal RNA". It matches the Rfam family "Bacterial small subunit ribosomal RNA", at positions 568 to 774 of the family's 1533-position model. The record is from RNAcentral.